AAAAUUUUUGCAUGGUAAUUCACCCUAGGCCACAAUUGUGCCUCCCUCAAAGCCCUAACCAAUUUUGAAACCUCUACCACACUUUUCCGAAAUUUCUCAUGACCAAAAGUUUUGAAAAUGUGAACCACACCCAAAAUUUUUCCAAUGCCAAUACAUAGCAAGCCUCUAAUAGUUCACAAGCCUAUGAAAAUGAUCAACCAAUUCAUUUUGAGGGUCAAAACAAG
Molecule: long non-coding RNA, 224 nt
Filed under: Trifolium pratense (red clover)
Lineage: Eukaryota; Viridiplantae; Streptophyta; Magnoliopsida; Fabales; Fabaceae
Description: long non-coding RNA (TPRA_LNC010232)
Source: RNAcentral